Molecule: ribosomal RNA, 465 nt
Filed under: Vreelandella stevensii
Lineage: Bacteria; Pseudomonadati; Pseudomonadota; Gammaproteobacteria; Oceanospirillales; Halomonadaceae
Description: partial 16S ribosomal RNA
Rfam family: Bacterial small subunit ribosomal RNA
Source: RNAcentral
CCUACGGGCGGCUGCAGUGGGGAAUAUUGGACAAUGGGGGGAACCCUGAUCCAGCCAUGCCGCGUGUGUGAAGAAGGCCCUCGGGUUGUAAAGCACUUUCAGUGAGGAAGAACGCCUGGUGGUUAAUACCCAUCAGGAAAGACAUCACUCACAGAAGAAGCACCGGCUAACUCCGUGCCAGCAGCCGCGGUAAUACGGAGGGUGCGAGCGUUAAUCGGAAUUACUGGGCGUAAAGCGCGCGUAGGUGGCUUGAUAAGCCGGUUGUGAAAGCCCCGGGCUCAACCUGGGAACGGCAUCCGGAACUGUCAAGCUAGAGUGCAGGAGAGGAAGGUAGAAUUCCCGGUGUAGCGGUGAAAUGCGUAGAGAUCGGGAGGAAUACCAGUGGCGAAGGCGGCCUUCUGGACUGACACUGACACUGAGGUGCGAAAGCGUGGGUAGCAAACAGGAUUAGAUACCCUGGUAGUA